Molecule: long non-coding RNA, 306 nt
Filed under: Ananas comosus (pineapple)
Lineage: Eukaryota; Viridiplantae; Streptophyta; Magnoliopsida; Poales; Bromeliaceae
Description: long non-coding RNA (ACOM_LNC034137)
Source: RNAcentral
AGCCACAUAUUUUCCAAUGUCUUUUUUCAUCCCAUACUACCAGAAGUGUGCAUUCAAAUCCUUAUACAUUUUAGUUCCAUCAGGGUGAACCGUAUAAGGUACAAAAUGAGCCUCUCUCAAAAUCUUCUAUCGGAUCUCUAAAUCCAUAGACACGCACAGUCGGUCCUUGUACUGCAGUACUUCCGAACUGUCAACGGUAAAGUCCCCUCUCUGUCCAUUCGCAAUCAUUUCUCGAAUCCCUAUCAAAUGAGGGUCCACACUCUGUUUCUUCUAGAUCCUAUCCAACAGAGUGUGUUGCAAGACCAA